CAAUAGCGUAUAUUAAAGUUGUUGCAGUUAAAAAGCUCGUAGUUGGAUUUCUGGUAGGAGCGACCGUGCCGAACUUGAUUGUUCGAGUAUUGUGUUGUCUUCAGCCAUCCUCGUGGAGAACUUUUCUAACAUUAACUUGUUGGGAUUGGGACCCGCGUCGUUUACUGUGAAAAAAUUAGAGUGUUUAAAGCAGGCAUUAGCUUGAAUACAUUAGCAUGGAAUAAUAAGAUAGGACUUUGGUACUAUUUUGUUGGUUUGCAUACCAAAUUAAUGAUCAACAGGAACAGUUUGAGGAUAUUCGUAUGAACAUGUCAGAGGUGAAAUUCUUGGAUUUUGAUCAGACGAACUACUGCGAAAGCAUUUGUCAAGGAUGUUUUCAUUAA
This 383-nucleotide ribosomal RNA is filed under the name uncultured eukaryote. Its description in RNAcentral is "partial 18S ribosomal RNA". It matches the Rfam family "Eukaryotic small subunit ribosomal RNA", at positions 592 to 976 of the family's 1831-position model. The record is from RNAcentral.